This 507-nucleotide ribosomal RNA is filed under the name uncultured bacterium. RNAcentral describes it as "partial 16S ribosomal RNA". It matches the Rfam family "Bacterial small subunit ribosomal RNA", at positions 28 to 523 of the family's 1533-position model. The record is from RNAcentral.
GAUGAACGCUAGCUACAGGCUUAACACAUGCAAGUCGAGGGGUAACGAGAGGAAAGCUUGCUUUCCUUGUCGACGACCGGCGCACGGGUGAGUAACGCGUAUCCAACCUGCCCCCAACUAGGGAAUAACCUUGCGAAAGUAAGACUAAUACCCUAUAAUUUCCUCAGAUGACAUCUGACGAGGAAUAAAGAUUUACCGGUUGUGGAUGGGGAUGCGUCUGUAUUAGCUUGUUGGCGGGGUAACGGCCCACCAAGGCAACGAUCAGUAGGGGUUCUGAGAGAAAGGUCCCCCACAUUGGAACCGAGACACGGUCCAAACUCCUACGGGAGGCGGCAGUGAGGAAUAUUGGUCAAUGGGCGGAAGCCUGAACCAGCCAAGUAGCGUGCAGGAUGGCGGCCCUGUGGGUUGUAAACUGCUUUUAUACAGGAAUAAAGUUAGCCACGUGUGGUUAUUUGUAGGUACUGUAUGAAUAAGGACCGGCUAAUUCCGUGCCAGCAGCCGCCGUAA